RNAcentral lists this non-coding RNA (195 nucleotides) under unidentified. The record is from RNAcentral.
AGGUGCCUGCCCGAGAGGGCGGCUCAACCUUGGGGGGUGAACUCCGCCCAAGGGGAAACGGGAAGCAGGUGUAAGACCUGCGCUGCCCCCGCAACGGUAAGUAGAGUGUGACAUCGCAACAGCCACUGUGCAGAGCGCAUGGGAAGGCGCCGAUGUCCGGUGAAACCACCAAUCUGCAAGCCCGGAUACCGGCCU